GAUGAACGCUAGCUACAGGCUUAACACAUGCAAGUCGAGGGGAAACGACAUCGAAAGCUUGCUUUUGAUGGGCGUCGACCGGCGCACGGGUGAGUAACGCGUAUCCAACCUGCCCACCACUUGGGGAUAACCUUGCGAAAGUAAGACUAAUACCCAAUGACGUCUCUAGAAGACAUCUGAAAGAGAUUAAAGAUUUAUCGGUGAUGGAUGGGGAUGCGUCUGAUUAGCUUGUUGGCGGGGUAACGGCCCACCAAGGCGACGAUCAGUAGGGGUUCUGAGAGGAAGGUCCCCCACAUUGGAACUGAGACACGGUCCAAACUCCUACGGGAGGCAGCAGUGAGGAAUAUUGGUCAAUGGACGAGAGUCUGAACCAGCCAAGUAGCGUGCAGGAUGACGGCCCUAUGGGUUGUAAACUGCUUUUAUAAGGGAAUAAAGUUAGUCUCGUGAGACUUUUUGCAUGUACCUUAUGAAUAAGGACCGGCUAAUUCCGUGCCAGCAGCCGCGGUAAUACGGAAGGUCCGGGCGUUAUCCGGAUUUAUUGGGUUUAAAGGGAGCGUAGGCCGGAGAUUAAGCGUGUUGUGAAAUGUAGACGCUCAACGUCUGCACUGCAGCGCGAACUGGUUUCCUUGAGUACGCACAAAGUGGGCGGAAUUCGUGGUGUAGCGGUGAAAUGCUUAGAUAUCACGAAGAACUCCGAUUGCGAAGGCAGCUCACUGGAGCGCAACUGACGCUGAAGCUCGAAAGUGCGGGUAUCGAACAGGAUUAGAUACCCUGGUAGUCCGCACGGUAAACGAUGGAUGCCCGCUGUUGGUCUGAAUAGGUCAGCGGCCAAGCGAAAGCAUUAAGCAUCCCACCUGGGGAGUACGCCGGCAACGGUGAAACUCAAAGGAAUUGAC
Molecule: ribosomal RNA, 896 nt
Filed under: uncultured bacterium
Lineage: Bacteria
Description: bacterial SSU rRNA
Rfam family: Bacterial small subunit ribosomal RNA
Source: RNAcentral